RNAcentral lists this ribosomal RNA (468 nucleotides) under uncultured bacterium. RNAcentral describes it as "partial 16S ribosomal RNA". It matches the Rfam family "Bacterial small subunit ribosomal RNA", at positions 28 to 507 of the family's 1533-position model. The record is from RNAcentral.
GACGAACGCUGGCGGCGUGCUUAAUACAUGCAAGUCGAACGGAAAGGCCCUGCUUUUGUGGGGUGCUCGAGUGGCGAACGGGUGAGUAACACGUGAGUAACCUGUCCUUGACUUUGUGAUAACUUCAGGAAACUGGGGCUAAUACCGGAUAGGAGCUCUUGCUGCAUGGUGGGGGUUGGAAAGUUUCGGCGGUUGGGGAUGGAAUCGAGGCUUAUCCGCUUGUUUGUGGAGUAGUGGCUUACCAAGGCUUUGACGGGUAGCCGGCCUGAGAGGGUGACCGGCCACAUUGGGACUGAGAUACGGCCCAGACGCCUACGGGAGGCAGCAGGGGAGAAUAUUGCACAAUGGGCGGAAGCCUGAUGCAGCAACGCCGCGUGCGGAAUGACGGCCUUCGGGUUAUAAACCACUUUCGCCUGUGACGAAGCGUGAGUGACGGUAAUUGGUAAGAAAGCACCGGCUAACUACGUG